UGGGGAAUAUUGGACAAUGCGGGAAACCGUGAUCCAGCAAUGCCGCGUGAGUGAUGAAGGCCUUAGGGUUGUAAAGCUCUUUUACCCGGGAUGAUAAUGACAGUACCGGGAGAAUAAGCUCCGGCUAACUCCGUGCCAGCAGCCGCGGUAAUACGGAGGGAGCUAGCGUUGUUCGGAAUAACUGGGCGUAAAGCGCGCGUAGGCGGCUAUUCAAGUCAGGGGUGAAAUCCCGGGGCUCAACCCCGGAACUGCCCUUGAAACUAGGUAGCUAGAAUACUGGAGAGGUGAGUGGAAUUCCGAGUAUAGAGGUGAAAUUCGUAGAUAUUGGGAGGAAUACCGGUGGCGAAGGCGACCACCUGGUCGGGUACUGACACUGAGGCGCGAAAGCGUGGGGAGCAAACAGGAUUAGAUACCCCCGUAGUCC
RNAcentral lists this ribosomal RNA (424 nucleotides) under uncultured prokaryote. RNAcentral describes it as "bacterial SSU rRNA". It matches the Rfam family "Bacterial small subunit ribosomal RNA", at positions 355 to 796 of the family's 1533-position model. The record is from RNAcentral.